AUUGUUCGCAAUGGGCGCAAGCCUGACGACGCAACGCCGCGUGGAGGAUGAAGAUCUUCGGGUCGUAAACUCCUUUCGAUCGAGACGAACGGCCUCCGGGUGAACAACCCGGAGGAGUGACGGUACCGAGAGAAGAAGCCCCGGCUAACUCCGUGCCAGCAGCCGCGGUAAUACGGGGGGGGCAAGCGUUGUUCGGAAUUACUGGGCGUAAAGGGCUCGUAGGUGGCCAACUAAGUCGGACGUGAAAUCCCUCGGCUCAACCGGGGAAUGGCGUCCGAUACUGGAUGGCUCGAGUUUGGGAGAGGGAUGCGGAAUUCCAGGUGUAGCGGUGAAAUGCGUAGAUAUCUGGAGGAACACCGGUGGCGAAGGCGGCAUCCUGGACCAAUACUGACACUGAGGAGCGAAAGCCAGGGGAGCAAACGGG
This 424-nucleotide ribosomal RNA is filed under the name uncultured bacterium. RNAcentral's name for it is "bacterial SSU rRNA". It matches the Rfam family "Bacterial small subunit ribosomal RNA", at positions 361 to 776 of the family's 1533-position model. The record is from RNAcentral.